CCUACGGGUGGCAGCAGUGGGGAAUAUUGCACAAUGGGGGAAACCCUGAUGCAGCGACGCCGCGUGAGUGAAGAAGUAAUUCGUAAUGUAAAGCUCUAUCAUCAGGGAAGAAAAUGACGGUACCUGAGUAAGCAGCCCCGGCUAACUACGAGCCAGCAGCCGCGGUAAUACGUAGGGGGCAAGCGUUAUCGGGAUUUAUGGGGGGUAAAGGGAGCGUAGGCGGUUGUGCAAGUCUGGAGUGAAAGGCGGGGGUUCAACCGUGGGAGUGCGCUGGAAACUGGAAGGCUGGAGUGCAGAAGAGGAAAGUGGAAUUCCAAGUGUAGCGGUGAAAUGCGUAGAGAUAAGGAGGAACACCAGUGGCGAAGGCGACUUACUGGACUGUAACUGACGUUGAGGUGCGAAAGCGUGGGGAGCAAACAGGAUUAGAUACCCGAGUAGUC
RNAcentral lists this ribosomal RNA (440 nucleotides) under uncultured bacterium. Its description in RNAcentral is "partial 16S ribosomal RNA". It matches the Rfam family "Bacterial small subunit ribosomal RNA", at positions 338 to 795 of the family's 1533-position model. The record is from RNAcentral.